RNAcentral lists this small nuclear RNA (20 nucleotides) under Arabidopsis thaliana (thale cress). Its description in RNAcentral is "snRNA_13738". The record is from RNAcentral. Lineage: Eukaryota; Viridiplantae; Streptophyta; Magnoliopsida; Brassicales; Brassicaceae.
UAAAUUAUAUUAGUUGAUCU